Molecule: long non-coding RNA, 805 nt
Filed under: Homo sapiens (human)
Lineage: Eukaryota; Metazoa; Chordata; Mammalia; Primates; Hominidae
Description: novel transcript
Source: RNAcentral
GGAAGGGAGGAAGCGUAGAAGGUGCCGAUGCACUUUUCCUCUCUCCAGCCCUCCUGACUGCUCCAAGAAUUUCAUCGAACAAGACUCAAAGAGGCCCAGCUGCUCUGCGUUUUGAUUCUUCUCCCUCUCUCAGUCCACACUGACCUGGGAGGGGCUUCUCAAACACCACAUUUCCUAGCGUGCUGUGAGAAGAGGACUGUGAGCUAAGAAGGGAGAAAAGAGAGUCUAAGUGCCAUUCAUAUAGGCCCCCCAAUUUGUUACCCUUAGCAUCAGAAAAUGAAAUCAGUAAACACCAAAUGAAAGCAACAACAAAAAAAUUAACUUCAGGAUCUAAAGUUCACAUUUAAAACAGCUUCAAAAGUAACAUGCACAACUGGCAACGAUCUCUUCAGACUACUAAUGUCCAGAUCUGACAAUUAAUAUGCUAAAGGUGGCCAGUAUGCAAGUGGUAACAGAAAACAGAAGGGAAAACCGAAGAAAGUUCAUGAAUUCUCUACCUCUGAGCAAGAGUUAGCUAGCUGAGUAUGUUACCGAAUCUCACUUUGAGGACUAGGAGUGGGAAUCCAGAUUUAAUUCCUAGUUAGUCAUUAACUAUAUGAACUUACUUAGAUUUAACUUCUUUGGGCCUCAGUUUACCUCUAAAAUGAGUACAAUUGUCAAUGAAAUUCACAAACAUUUACCAUGUGGGUAAAACAAAAAGCAUAGCCCUUGCUCCAAAUUCUGACACGUCUAAAUUCUAUGACUGUUUUGGCUAUGACUUUCUCACUCUUAGAAUAACUGGGUUUAUUAGGAAUUACAAUUAGUU